This 3359-nucleotide long non-coding RNA is filed under the name Sus scrofa (pig). RNAcentral describes it as "lncRNA (ENSSSCG00050049725.1)". Lineage: Eukaryota; Metazoa; Chordata; Mammalia; Artiodactyla; Suidae. The record is from RNAcentral.
GGUCCUGGUCGCUGGAGCCAUGAUGGCUGGAGUUGUGAUCUGGAGGAAGAAGCGCCCAGUGAAAGAGGAGGGAGCUACACUCAGGCUGCAGGCAGUGACAGUGCUCAGGGCUCUGAUGUGUUUCUUCCAAUGGAUCCUAGAGUGUGAGACAGCUGCCUUGUGGGGACUGACUGACACAAGAUUUGUUCACGUCCCACUUUGUGACUUCAGAUCCCCUGACUCCUAUUUCUGCAGCUGCCUCUGAAAGAGUCUGUGUUUCUAUGAGCAUCAUGAAGGGGGUGGGGACCCUGGCCUAGCCCUGCCCCCCAUGUCCCCUUCUCACCCUGACCUGUGUUCUCUUCCCUGAUCCACUUUUCAGCUCCAGCAGGUGGGGGCUGGAAGAUCUAAGUUGACCCCCACUGUCCCCUCCUCUGGUCCCCAAGCCCCUGUGUAAUCCUGACUUUUGGGGCAUCCGCUGGCCCUAGUGACUCGCUGGGAACAAACACAUAGGGGAUGUUUGGAAAAGUCUGUCUUGGGAUCUCCGGUCGGGGUUGGGGGAGGAGAUACGAGGGACCUGGGGUCAGUCGUCUCAGGGCGGAUAGUCCAGGCCAGGCUGGGGAGCAGAGAUUCCUGAAGGGUCCCCGUGACAGGUGACGCUGCAGCCCUUUCCCACCUGAGGGGUUCUUUCUCUAGGUCUCAGCCUCCACAGCCCCUGCCGUCGGACAGGAGGAGGAGGAGAGACCAGCAGCAGAGACUCCCAUCCUGCCUGAAAUAUCCGGGGAACCGUGGGUAGAAAGGACGGGAAGGGAAGGGGAGAGUCCCGGUGACCCCAACACUCUGAGGGAAGCCCCAGGGCUGGAAAGAAGAGGAGGGUGACAGGUUCCAGGCUCCCUGUGCCGCCCCCUCUGGCCCAGCUCUCUUUCUCAACUCACACUAAGGUCCUGGAGCCCACAGUGGUGACCCUGUAAAUACCUCUGGGCCCAUCUCCAGAACAGCCCACCCUGGCCGCACAUCCUAGGAAAUCCUAUCCUCCCUGCAUGUGUGAACUCAGAGGCUGCAGCAGAAACCCGCAUACCACUGGUCUCCCAGGACGGAAGCUGGUGUGUGUCCCAUGGCAGUGAGGCAGGCAGCUCCAGGGCUGCUGGGGUGGCUCUGCACCGCAAGAGAGUCCAGGCAUCCAGGUCCCUGUGACCGUCCCUCCCUGCUGUCUCUGGGGUGGUGCCCUUAUUAGGAUGACCCAAGGUUCCCAAGGCCAUGUUCAUGGACCAUGAGCAACCAGGCAGAGCAGGGGAGGAGGCAAAGUCACGUGGCAUGUGCUUGGGUGGCCAAAUGCAUCAUCAAUAAGCAGGAGUAUUUUGUUUGUUUGCUCAUUUUUAGGGCCCCACGCAUGGCAUAUGGAGGUUCCCAGGCUAUGGGUCAAAUUGGAGCUGUAGCUGCUGGCCUUCUCCACACCACAGCAAUGCCAGAUCCGAGCCACAUUUGCAACCUAUACCACAGCUCAUGGCAACUCCAGAUCCUUAACCCUCUGAGCAAGGCCAGGGAUGGAACCCACAACCUCAUGGUUCCUAGUCGGAUUCGUUUCUGCUGCGCCACAAUGGGAACUCCUAAGCGGUCUUAUCUUGAAAGGAACUUUUCUUCUGCGCAGUAGUUCUCAACAGUGGGCAUCGCAUAUACAGUCCACCGUGUUGUAAACAGAUGUGCUGUCACCUAGGCUUUGUUGUUCCAUUUCUAGAGCAUAGGCAGGGCGGCUAUAAUAUCCAUCUUAACGGCCCUAGGGUUUUCUGAAUGGCAAAUGAGCAUUGGCUUCGAUUUCAGGUGCUAGUUGCCUAAAAGGAGCUUCCCAUAGUUAAACUUGUGGUUUCAAAACAUGCUGGGAAAUGUUCGCUGAUGGUUCCGUUGUGAAAGAACGUUUUGUUGCAAACAAUAUGGCCAAGCACUACAAGAUUCCCGUAUCCUCCAUCUGUAUCUGUCAUUACCAGCAGAUACACGCUGAUUUCGGACGUUGUCUGUUCAGAUCCUCAUUGAGGCAGGGACAGAGCAAUUGGCAGCCAGAUUUUCCUUUCUUUCUCUUUUGUUUCUUUUCUGUGGCCACACCUGUGACAUAUGGAAGUUCCCAUGCCAGGAGUGGAAUUAGAGCUGCAGCUGAGGCCUAUGCCACAGCCAUAGCAACUCUGGAUCCCAGCCACAUCUGCCACCUCUGCUCCAGCUUGCAGCCAUGUCGGAGCCUUAACCCAAUGAGCAAAGCCAGGGAUUUAACCCGCAACAUCACGGAGACAACCUUGGCUCUUUAACCCACUGAUCCACAAUGGGAACGCCGCAGCCAGAUCUUUUCUAGGUGGUGAGGGCCCAAAGGUUUUGACUAAUAUGUUCUAUUACAGUUCAGGCCACAUUUGACUCAUGGGACCGAAGGGAAUGAGUUUUGUGGGUUAAGGAUAUAGAUAGAGGAUGUUCCAACAGUUUUAGUUAGAAAUAGACAUGAGUAGUUCCCGUCGUGGCGCAGUGGUUAACGAAUCCGACUAGGAACCAUGAGGUUGCGGGUUCGAUCCCUGCCCUUGCUCAGUGGGUUAAGGAUCCGGCGUUGCCGUGAGCUGUGUUGUAGGUUGCAGACGCAGCUCGGAUCCCGCAUUGCUGUGGCUCUGGCGUAGGCCGGUGGCUACAGCUCCGAUUCAACCCCUAGCCUGGGAACCUCCAUAUGCCGCCGGAGCGGCCCAAGAAAUAGCAAAAACAACAACAACAACAAAAAAAGACAAAAAAAAAAAAAUAGACAUGAAAUGAAAUGCAGAUUCUUACUAAAGAACAAGGUCAGAAUUUAGGAAGAUAAUGGUGGAACCCCUCCUCUUUAGAAUAUUUUUUCAGUCAACGAUUAAUGUUAGGGAAAUACAUUACCAAGUGGAUAGACAGAUGACUAGACAAACAAAUCAGAAAAAAAGAAAUUAUGCUUGGAGUUUCCGUCGUGGCCCAGUGGUUAACGAAUCUGCCUAGGAACCAUGAGGUUGUGGGUUGGAUCCCUGGCCUUGCUCAGUGGGUUAAGGAUCCAGUGUUGCCGUGGGCUGUGGUGUAGGUCACAGACGUGGCUCGGAUCCUGCGUUGCUGUGGCUGUGGUGUAGGUUGGCGGCUACAGCUCCGAUUCAACCCCUAGCCUGGGAACCUCCAAAUGCCACGGGAGCGGCCUAAGAAAUGGCAAAAAGACAAAAAAAAAAAAGCAGGUUUGAUAUAAAGCGUCCUAGUUGAUGCAAUAAAAAUGCUUGUCUCACCUUUACAAACCAUCAUGGAAGAGAAUAUGGAAAAGAAUAUACAUGUAUGUAUAACUAAAGGACUUUGCUGUACGGCAGAAAUUAACACAGCAUUGUAAAUCAACUAUACUAAAUAAAAUUUUUGAA